Molecule: ribosomal RNA, 253 nt
Filed under: uncultured prokaryote
Description: partial 16S ribosomal RNA
Rfam family: Bacterial small subunit ribosomal RNA
Source: RNAcentral
ACAGGGGGGGCAAGCGUUGUUCGGAAUUACUGGGCGUAAAGGGUCUGUAGGUGGCCAACUAAGUCAGACGUGAAAUCCCUCAGCUUAACUGGGGAACUGCGUCUGAUACUGGAUGGCUUGAGUGUGGGAGAGGAAUGCGGAAUUCCAGGUGUAGCGGUGAAAUGCGUAGAUAUCUGGAGGAACACCGGUGGCGAAGGCGGCAUUCUGGACCAUAACUGACACUGAGAGACGAAAGCCAGGGGAGCAAACGGGA